UACAGAGGUCCCAAGCGUUGUUCGGAUUCACUGGGCGUAAAGGGUGCGUAGGUGGUGAGGUAAGUCGGAUGUGAAAGCUCGGAGCUCAACUCCGAAAUGGCAUUGGAAACUACCCUGCUAGAGGGUCGGAGGGGGGACUGGAAUUCUCGGUGUAGCAGUGAAAUGCGUAGAUAUCGAGAGGAACACCAGUGGCGAAGGCGAGUCCCUGGACGACUCCUGACACUGAGGCACGAAAGCUAGGGGAGCAAACAGG
This 253-nucleotide ribosomal RNA is filed under the name uncultured bacterium. RNAcentral describes it as "partial 16S ribosomal RNA". It matches the Rfam family "Bacterial small subunit ribosomal RNA", at positions 524 to 776 of the family's 1533-position model. The record is from RNAcentral.